GGAGUCACUGCUGAUAGGCAUGAAUAAGUUCUUGCAAAGCUUGGCCAUCACAUUUAGAAGGGACCCCAACAACUUUAGACCAAGAAUCAACAAACUGAACUCUGUGAAGGAUGCGGAUCAAAAGAGGACUGGUAACUAUUUCUUCCUGGAAGAUUAGUGACUGACUCAAUAGGCACGAUACAAUGGUACCACCGAGAAAAAGUGACCAGGAUUUGGAACCAGGACUUGGUUGGAGCAGCAGGCGAUGAGAUAGCGGUGCAAGUGUCACGCAGCUUUUUCUCACAAUUGGCAUCUGAAGAAUUGCUCGGUCUAACCUCAGUGAUUGGCGGUCAUGGGAUCCUGGUACUACUCCUGCUCGAUAACGACAUGGACUCUGAAUGCCCUUGGUCUACAUAUCGGCAACAAUUGCCUUCUCUCUAUAGCAGCCGGAGAGAGUAUCACACAUUUAUCUGCGUGAAAUCGCUGCGGUUCCUGAUAAGCGUUAGCUAGUCUU
Priapulus caudatus is the source of this 493-nucleotide long non-coding RNA. RefSeq lists it as uncharacterized. The transcript is spliced from 2 exons. Lineage: Eukaryota; Metazoa; Priapulida; Priapulimorpha; Priapulimorphida; Priapulidae. The record is from RefSeq and is a predicted model, not a curated record.